This 535-nucleotide ribosomal RNA is filed under the name Phoma sp. GS4_2_2. Its description in RNAcentral is "eukaryotic LSU rRNA". The stretch from base 172 to 325 matches the Rfam family "5.8S ribosomal RNA". Lineage: Eukaryota; Fungi; Ascomycota; Dothideomycetes; Pleosporales; Didymellaceae. The record is from RNAcentral.
GAGCUAAGUAAGUGACCUGCGGAGGAUCAUUACCUAGAGUUGCGGGCUUUGCCUGCUAUCUCUUACCCAUGUCUUUUGAGUACCUUCGUUUCCUCGGCGGGUUCGCCCGCCGAUUGGACAAUUUAAACCAUUUGCAGUUGCAAUCAGCGUCUGAAAAAACUUAAUAGUUACAACUUUCAACAACGGAUCUCUUGGUUCUGGCAUCGAUGAAGAACGCAGCGAAAUGCGAUAAGUAGUGUGAAUUGCAGAAUUCAGUGAAUCAUCGAAUCUUUGAACGCACAUUGCGCCCCUUGGUAUUCCAUGGGGCAUGCCUGUUCGAGCGUCAUUUGUACCUUCAAGCUCUGCUUGGUGUUGGGUGUUUGUCUCGCCUCUGCGCGCAGACUCGCCUCAAAACAAUUGGCAGCCGGCGUAUUGAUUUCGGAGCGCAGUACAUCUCGCGCUUUGCACUCAUAACGACGACGUCCAAAAGUACAUUUUUACACUCUUGACCUCGGAUCAGGUAGGGAUACCCGCUGAACUUAAGCAAUAAAGGGGG